Molecule: ribosomal RNA, 478 nt
Filed under: uncultured bacterium
Lineage: Bacteria
Description: partial 16S ribosomal RNA
Rfam family: Bacterial small subunit ribosomal RNA
Source: RNAcentral
AGUGAACGCUGGCGGCGUGCCUAACACAUGCAAGUCGAACGAUGAUGAUGGAGCUUGCUCUAUCUGAUUAGUGGCGCACGGGUGAGUAAUGCAUAGAUAAUGUGCCCCUUAGUUUGGGAUAGCCACUGGACACGGUGAUUAAUACCAGAUACUCCUUCCCAUUAUAAGAUGAGUCGGGAAAGUUUUUUCGCUAAGGGAUCAGUCUAUGUCCUAUCAGCUAGUUGGUGAGGUAAUGGCUCACCAAGGCAAUGACGGGUAUCUGGUUUGAGAGGAUGAUCAGACACACUGGAACUGAGACACGGUCCAGACUCCUACGGGAGGCAGCAGUGAGGAAUAUUGCACAAUGGAGGAAACUCUGAUGCAGCAACGCCGCGUGGAGGAUGACGCAUUUCGGUGUGUAAACUCCUUUUAUUAGGGAAGAUUAUGACGGUACCUAAUGAAUAAGCACCGGCUAACUCCGUGCCAGCCGCCGCGGUAA